AUACGUAGGUGGCAAGCGUUAUCCGGAUUUACUGGGUGUAAAGGGCGCGUAGGCGGGGAUGCAAGUCAGAUGUGAAAUCUAUGGGCUCAACUCAUAAACUGCAUUUGAAACUGUGUCUCUUGAGUGCUGGAGAGGUAGACGGAAUUCCUUGUGUAGCGGUGAAAUGCGUAGAUAUAAGGAAGAACACCAGUGGCGAAGGCGGUCUACUGGACAGUAACUGACGCUGAGGCGCGAAAGCGUGGGGAGCAAACAGGAUUAGAUUCCCUGGUAGUCCACGCUGUAAACGAUGAAUACUAGGUGUGGGGGGACUGACCCCCUCCGUGCCGCAGUUAACACAAUAAGUAUUCCACCUGGGGAGUACGGCCGCAAGGUUGAAACUCAAAUGAAUUGACGGGG
RNAcentral lists this ribosomal RNA (396 nucleotides) under uncultured bacterium. Its description in RNAcentral is "partial 16S ribosomal RNA". It matches the Rfam family "Bacterial small subunit ribosomal RNA", at positions 523 to 918 of the family's 1533-position model. The record is from RNAcentral.